This 473-nucleotide long non-coding RNA is filed under the name Homo sapiens (human). Its description in RNAcentral is "HSALNT0182950". The record is from RNAcentral. Lineage: Eukaryota; Metazoa; Chordata; Mammalia; Primates; Hominidae.
CGACUGCUUGUAUGGUAAUGGAUUAUAAGAAUUAUUUUUCUUUUUCCCACUGCUUGAUUUUUCCAAAAUAUGUGUAACUACAUACUAUAGAAUCCUUUGAAGACAAUUAAUUUCCACUAUGCAAAAGUGAGUAUACAGCACAAUGCCAGGCACAUAGCAAAGGUUCAGUGUUAAAAAACAAAAUAACAGCAAAAGACCUGUAACCUCUCAUUAGUCUAUAUCUACAGAGACUCAAAACAUUAUGCAAGGGUGAAAGAUAAGGUUGACUCGUUUCAAAAUGAAAUGAUGUUUUAACCUGAAACUGCUCUACUACAUUUCACAUGACAAACUCAGCUGACCAUUCCCAUAAAGCACUCUGGCCAUACUGAAAAUCCUUGAUUUUGUUUAAAGAUACAGAACACCUUAAUGAUGGGUAACUUCGGGGAAAGCUACUCUGGUAGGAAGCCUACACAGCUAAUAAAAGAAUUUGUGCC